Molecule: long non-coding RNA, 613 nt
Filed under: Homo sapiens (human)
Lineage: Eukaryota; Metazoa; Chordata; Mammalia; Primates; Hominidae
Description: HSALNT0219098
Source: RNAcentral
GUUUUCACAAAAUUCGAUCAUUUUGUAACAUUAUGAAUACAUUUUAUAACUUAAUAUAUUUUGGUUACAUUUUAUGUCAUUAAGUAGUUGUAUUUAUUUAUUUUUUGAGACAGUCUCACUCUGUUGCCCAGGCUGGAGUGCAGUGGUGUGAUCUCAGCUCACUGCAACCUCUGCCUCCCAGAUUCAAGUGAUUCCCCUGCCUCCUGAUAGCUGCGAUUACAGGCACAUGCCAUCAUGCCCAGCUAAUUUUUUUUUUUUUUUUUUUUUUGAGACAAAGUCUCGCUCUUGUCCCUCAGGCUGGAGUGCAAUGGCGCGAUCUUGGCUCCCUGCAACCUCCACCUCCCGGGUUCAAGCGAUUCUCCUGCCUCAGCCUCCCGAGUAGCUGGGAUUAGAGGCGCCUGACACCACGCCCAGCUAAUUUUUGUAUUUUUAGUAGAGAUGGGGUUUCACCAUGUUGGCCAGGCUGGUCUACAAACUCCUGACCUCAGGUGAUCUGCCCACCUCGGCCUCCCAAAGUGCUGGGAUUACAGGCAUGAGCCACCACACCCAGCCUAUUUUUGUAUUUUUUUACCAGCUUGAAACAAUAAGCAUUUAUUAUAUCACUGUUUUAGUA